UGGGGAAUAUUGCACAAUGGGCGCAAGCCUGAUGCAGCCAUGCCGCGUGUGUGAAGAAGGCCUUCGGGUUGUAAAGCACUUUCAGCGAGGAGGAAGGUGGUGGACUUAAUACGUUCAUCAAUUGACGUUACUCGCAGAAGAAGCACCGGCUAACUCCGUGCCAGCAGCCGCGGUAAUACGAAGGGUGCAAGCGUUAAUCGGAAUUACUGGGCGUAAAGCGCACGCAGGCGGUUUGUUAAGUCAGAUGUGAAAUCCCCGGGCUCAACCUGGGAACUGCAUUUGAAACUGGCAAGCUAGAGUCUCGUAGAGGGGGGUAGAAUUCCAGGUGUAGCGGUGAAAUGCGUAGAGAUCUGGAGGAAUACCGGUGGCGAAGGCGGCCCCCUGGACGAAGACUGACGCUCAGGUGCGAAAGCGUGGGGAGCAAACAGGAUUAGAUACCCUGGUAGUCCACGCUGUAAACGAUGUCGAUUUGGAGGUUGUGCCCUUGAGGCGUGGCUUCCGGAGCUAACGCGUUAAAUCGACCGCCUGGGGAGUACGGCCGCAAGGUUAAAACUUAAAGGAAUUGACGGGGUC
Molecule: ribosomal RNA, 573 nt
Filed under: uncultured bacterium
Lineage: Bacteria
Description: partial 16S ribosomal RNA
Rfam family: Bacterial small subunit ribosomal RNA
Source: RNAcentral